RNAcentral lists this transfer RNA (67 nucleotides) under Cheirogaleus medius (lesser dwarf lemur). RNAcentral describes it as "tRNA-Thr". It matches the Rfam family "tRNA". From Rfam's summary of the family: Transfer RNA (tRNA) molecules are approximately 80 nucleotides in length. Their secondary structure includes four short double-helical elements and three loops (D, anti-codon, and T loops). Lineage: Eukaryota; Metazoa; Chordata; Mammalia; Primates; Cheirogaleidae. The record is from RNAcentral.
GCCCUUGUAGUAUAAACCAAUACUCUGGUCUUGUAAACCAGAAAUGGAGAUCACUCUCCCUAGGACA